UACGUAGAGUGCAAGCGUUAAUCGGAAUUACUGGGCGUAAAGCGUGCGCAGGCGGUGAUGUAAGACAGAUGUGAAAUCCCCGGGCUCAACCUGGGAACUGCAUUUGUGACUGCAUCGCUGGAGUACGGCAGAGGGGGAUGGAAUUCCGCGUGUAGCAGUGAAAUGCGUAGAUAUGCGGAGGAACACCGAUGGCGAAGGCAAUCCCCUGGGCCUGUACUGACGCUCCAUGCACGAAAGCGUGGGGAGCAAACAGG
Molecule: ribosomal RNA, 254 nt
Filed under: uncultured bacterium
Lineage: Bacteria
Description: partial 16S ribosomal RNA
Rfam family: Bacterial small subunit ribosomal RNA
Source: RNAcentral